AUACUGUGAAAGUACUUUAAUUCGUGGGUAUCAAUUUUCGUGGUUUGAGCAAUAUUAACAUGUUCGUGGGUUUUUAAAUUCGUGGAUUUUAGUUUUCUAAAAAAAAAAAAAAUUGAAAAAUUGAAGUCUUUAGAAACGAGGGUUACAAAUAGUCUAGAUUGAAGGAAAUUGCAAAGUAAACAUUGACCCGUGUAAAUCGUAGUGAUAACACUAAUUAACCCAUGAUAAAGUGAUCAACAGAUUACAGACCAUCAAAGGUGUUAAUUAGGCCAUUAACAU
Molecule: long non-coding RNA, 279 nt
Filed under: Mytilus galloprovincialis (Mediterranean mussel)
Lineage: Eukaryota; Metazoa; Mollusca; Bivalvia; Mytilida; Mytilidae
Source: RNAcentral